CUGUGAUUAUAAGAUCUAUAUUA
RNAcentral lists this small nuclear RNA (23 nucleotides) under Arabidopsis thaliana (thale cress). RNAcentral describes it as "snRNA_12856". The record is from RNAcentral. Lineage: Eukaryota; Viridiplantae; Streptophyta; Magnoliopsida; Brassicales; Brassicaceae.